AUUGAACGCUGGCGGCAUGCCUUACACAUGCAAGUCGAACGGCAGCACGGGUGCUUGCACCUGGUGGCGAGUGGCGCACGGGGGUGUAAUACAUCGGAACAUGUCCUGUAGUGGGGGAUAGCCCGGCGAAAGCCGCAUUAAUACCGCAUACGAUUUACGGAAGAAAGCGGGGGACCUUCGGGCCUCGCGCUUUGGGGUUGGCCGGUGGCGGAUUAGCUAGUUGGUGGGGUAAAGGCAUACCAAGGCGACGAUCAGUAGCUGGUCUGAGAGGACGACCAGCCACACUGGGACUGAGACACGGCCCAGACUCCUACGGGAGGCAGCAGUGGGGAAUUUUGGACAAUGGGCGAAAGCCUGAUCCAGCAAUGCCGCGUGUGUGAAGAAGGCCUUCGGGUUGUAAAGCACUUUUGUCCGGAAAGAAAUCCUUGGCCCUAAUACGGUCGGGGGAUGACGGUACCGGAAGAAUAAGCACCGGCUAACUACGUG
This 486-nucleotide ribosomal RNA is filed under the name uncultured bacterium. RNAcentral describes it as "partial 16S ribosomal RNA". It matches the Rfam family "Bacterial small subunit ribosomal RNA", at positions 30 to 507 of the family's 1533-position model. The record is from RNAcentral.